Long non-coding RNA from Tachysurus fulvidraco (yellow catfish), 2976 nucleotides. RefSeq lists it as uncharacterized. The transcript has 2 exons. The record is from RefSeq and is a predicted model, not a curated record. Lineage: Eukaryota; Metazoa; Chordata; Actinopteri; Siluriformes; Bagridae.
AUUAAACCAUGCAGUAUCUCAAGAUGUUCUAUGGUGAAAUAAAACCAAAAUUUGUCACUCCAGUCUCAUUGCAACUACAAGCGAUAUAUGUCCCAACUUGAUCGAGGAAGCCUGUGGUGCAUUGCGAACUAGAACUACCCAGGUUCCCUGCAAAACUGCUGCUAGAGUAGCGGCUGUCUGGUCGUCUAAAGCAUCUAUCAAUGCUCAGUCUGUGUCUGAAGAAGGGGACUGGAAGUGUUGCUCUUGCUCAAGUUUAGCUCAUGAAGGGCCUGGUGUUGAGACUGGUGGAUGCCAGUGUGGCUCUUGAUGAUCUGGGAAAGGGACACUCCAUGAUGAUUUUAUUUUAUUGUAAUGGUGCAUAGCCCACCUCACAUAUUUGUCCUCUACCAUUAUUUAAAUGUUAUUUUCAAAUGAAAUUUAAUAAUUUUGUUAUAUUUUAAAAUCCUCUAAUUUAUGAGAAUGAAUAAAAACAGUUAAUAGUUUAUUAAAAUCUUGAUGUAUGGAUGGGUGCACACUACUGAUUCCUCUUUGCUAAUUACCUUUUCCCUGGGUCCUUGAUCACUCUGGUUCAUGGCGUGGACGGUCACAUUCCAUGUGUCAGCAAACACAGAGAGAGGUGGGGCUUCAGGCUCCAUACUAAUGUGUUUUAGAGGAACUUGGACUAAACCAUGAGGUUCAGAUUUACGUUUACAUUUACAGCAUUUGGCAGACGCACUUAUCCAGAACGACCUACAGAAGUGCUUACGUCCCUAUCAUUGGAGACAUUAACUCUGGGUCACUAGGUUACAUACAUUAGAUACCAUGAGUCUAAAACUUUGUUCAUGUUUUUUUUUUUAUUUUAAAUUCAGAGGGAUAUUUUUUCUAUUCAAUUCAUUUAGUUUAUUUCUUUGAUUGUUUGUUUGCAGUAGUUUUGAUUGUUCUUUAGGUAAUUGUUUGUAUUGUGUUAUGUAUAAUGAAAUGGAUAUGUAUGGAUUUACCUUUUUGUUUCUCAUAGUGGUGGACGUAUUAUACAAGGUCUGUGUUGUUCAGCAAUAGCAACACUUUGUGCUCCUUAUCUUAGGGUUUGUUUCCUUUUUGGUUUUAUUUUUGUUUCUUACUUUGUUAACAGGGGACACAUUUAAUCAUUGAUGUGUUUUUGGCCUGGAUACAUUAUCUAAAGUUUUUGAUUCUUGUAUGGAACCUUGUUGGACGUGAAUUUUGUUAUGUAUAAGUCUGCCUAAUUUUGUUUGUCGAAAGGAAAAAUAAUUUUUUAAUCAUCUGUCCUGCUUGUUUUUGGCCUUGAUCAUCACAUUUAUCCUGAAAUCCUCAUGUUUCUACACCAGUGUGACUCUCCCUCAUUCUCUUUAAUUCUGCUUUUUAAGUGAUUCUUGAAUCAUGGUCUCUCUCAGUGGAGACACACCAACUUAAGCACAUAUACAGUAGUCAGUUCUGUUCAGCUCAGAUCUAGCUGUGUUCUCUUGUGUCUCUAAGCUGUCUUGUCUCCCAUGUAUAUCUCUUCUGUCACUCAGGUGUAGCCACCUCCUUAGCAGUCACUCUCCUGAUUCCACCCUCCAUUCAACUCCACAGGUCUACAAGAGAAACAGCAGAAUUUUAUGCAGUGUAGUUUUAUGCAGCUAACUGAACUGGCUUUACUGAAUUUUCAGACUAAAAAUACAUUUUGUUAUCUGUCUUAACCACCUACAUGCAUCUGUUUACUGUUUAUACGUUUAUAAAGCCUAAAUUAUGUCAAAAUGAGUGCAUGAAGAAAUGCAAAAUAUAUUGCUGAACCUUUUUCACCAGAACUUCCUGACGUAUCUUUUGACACCAUGCUGAUUUUUAAGCUACGUAAGAAACCACAGACUCCUAUACUGUACUUCUGCUUUUUUUAGUAUUUAGAUCCUACUCCCUGUUACGCGAAAGCUCUAACCAUGCAGUACCUCAACUCAUCUAACAGCUCGCUCAUCGGUCCUGUUGCAACUGAGAACCUGAUUUACAGUAUUGUGGUGGCAGUUUGCUUCAUACUGGGAGUCCCUGGUAAUAUUGCUGUAAUGGUGCGUCUGUCUGGAUGGCUGAAGAAAGGCAGUUUCACCCCGAGACUGAUGCUAAGCCUGGCCAUAUCAGAUCUACUCACUCUGAUUCCUCUGCCCGUUUCGAUUUGGGCUGCUCUGCAUGGCUGGGUGUUUGGCUUGGUCUUGUUUGUGUGAACCCCUUCCUGUACGCUUUCUCUGCUCGGGCUCUUCAACAGGGAACAGCUGGAACAAAUGAUCCUUAGUUCCUUGAACAUAUCAUGGUUUGAGUGAGCUGAUGCACAUCUCUGACAGCCUUUCUCAGACAUUGCAUUUAAAGGAACACCAUAUAAAAUUAUAUGAAUCAUUUUUCUUAUUCCUGCAGUCUAUUUUUAUAGUUUUUUUGCAUCUUCUAAUUCUUUUUUAUUACACCUAACAUAUUUUGCAGAUGAAUUUAACAGAUACUGUAUGACUUUUUAAAUGUCUACCUAAUACAUUUGUGUGUUCUUAAAGCAUAAUGGCUUGAGACAAAAAGUAAGUCUUAAAUUAGAACGUGAUAAAUGUUACUGAAUCCAAAAUGUGAUCAUCAAUAUUAGCAACAUUCAUUAUGAGUAUAGUUUUGUGUUUGUUAGAUUUUUUGUGUCUCUGCUUUACAUUGCUGAUUUUAUAUAUAGUUUUGGUUGAAACUAAAAGCUGUUUUCUGAACUUAAAAACACUUACAUUUUGAGCUUUAAACCAAAAUAAAGUUUUCUGAUAUUUAAAAAUGCUACUUCUGCUUGCACAUUUGUAAGACAACAUGACAGGAACUUGCAGCACCUUUACUGAGAGUUGUAACAUGUUACAAUUGUACAGGAAUUUGCUUCAGAGCAUAGAGUGUUAAGGCAGAAGACACACACACACUCCCCUACCUAGUAAAGGACAAAAUGCAACUGAUACAGAGCUGAAAAUGAUGUAAUAUUGUCUUUUUGUAAAUAAAAGAAUUAGAAUUAAA